GUGAAUCAUCGAAUUUUUGAACGCAAAUUGCACUCUUUUCGGAGAGUAUGAGUGUUUGAGAGUCAGCAUAAAAAAAAUCGACAUAGUUGCUGUUACGCGGUAACAUUCGUCGGAAAUUGGGUCAUGUUAAACCUUUGGGUUUAAGCGGCUUAAAAUCUUCUUUAAGAUUCCAAGUACGUUUCUAUGAUUUUUUUUUCUUAUACGUUUAAGAUAUAGAUCUUUAUUAGACGUGGCGGUUGCUUUGGAGC
This 248-nucleotide unclassified non-coding RNA is filed under the name Glomus sp. Its description in RNAcentral is "partial contains 5.8S ribosomal RNA and internal transcribed spacer 2". The stretch from base 1 to 65 matches the Rfam family "5.8S ribosomal RNA", at positions 84 to 154 of the family's 154-position model. Lineage: Eukaryota; Fungi; Glomeromycota; Glomeromycetes; Glomerales; Glomeraceae. The record is from RNAcentral.